AUACGUAGGUGGCAAGCGUUGUCCGGAAUUACUGGGCGUAAAGGGUGCGUAGGCGGUUAUUUAAGUCAGAUGUGAAAUUCCGGGGCUCAACUUCGGAAUUGCAUUUGAAACUGGAGAGCUAGAGUGCAGGAGAGGAAAGCGGAAUUCCUAGUGUAGCGGUGAAAUGCGUAGAUAUUAGGAAGAACACCAGUGGCGAAGGCGGCUUUCUGGACUGUAACUGACGCUGAGGCACGAAAGCGUGGGGAGC
This 247-nucleotide ribosomal RNA is filed under the name uncultured bacterium. Its description in RNAcentral is "partial 16S ribosomal RNA". It matches the Rfam family "Bacterial small subunit ribosomal RNA", at positions 523 to 769 of the family's 1533-position model. The record is from RNAcentral.